This 242-nucleotide ribosomal RNA is filed under the name uncultured bacterium. RNAcentral describes it as "partial 16S ribosomal RNA". It matches the Rfam family "Bacterial small subunit ribosomal RNA", at positions 15 to 244 of the family's 1533-position model. The record is from RNAcentral.
GAUCAUGGCUCAGGACGAACGCUAGCGGCGUGCCUAAUACAUGCAAGUCGAGCGAAGUUUUUCUGGUGCUUGCACCGGAAAAACUUAGCGGCGAACGGGUGAGUAACACGUAAAGAACCUGCCUCAUAGACUGGGACAACUAUUGGAAACGAUAGCUAAUACCGGAUAACAGCAUUAACUGCACGGUUGAUGUUUGAAAGUUGGUUUUGCUAACACUAUGAGAUGGCUUUGCGGUGCAUUAG